This 77-nucleotide non-coding RNA is filed under the name Komagataeibacter intermedius AF2. The record is from RNAcentral. Lineage: Bacteria; Pseudomonadati; Pseudomonadota; Alphaproteobacteria; Acetobacterales; Acetobacteraceae.
UUGAGCCGUAUGCGGGGAAACUCGCACGUACGGUUCUUAGGGGGGAAUAGCCCAGUGAUGGGCUGUUCCUACCCGAU